Streptomyces silvensis is the source of this 148-nucleotide non-coding RNA. Lineage: Bacteria; Bacillati; Actinomycetota; Actinomycetes; Kitasatosporales; Streptomycetaceae. The record is from Rfam.
CAACUGUGCUCUAAUUCGGCCGAAUUCCAAGCUCAGUCACCAGGGGAAGCCGGUCGAAAUCCGGCGCUGACCCGCAACCGUAGGUUCGCCGAGCACGUCAAGUGCCCGGCGGGCGAGCCGGAUCACCUGGCCUGAGGACAGACGAUUG